RNAcentral lists this ribosomal RNA (408 nucleotides) under uncultured bacterium. Its description in RNAcentral is "partial 16S ribosomal RNA". It matches the Rfam family "Bacterial small subunit ribosomal RNA", at positions 28 to 526 of the family's 1533-position model. The record is from RNAcentral.
GACGAACGCUGGCGGCGUGCUUAACACAUGCAAGUCGAACGAAGUGGCGAACGGGUGAGUAACGCGUAAUCAACCUGCCCUUCCGAGGGGGACAACAGUUGGAAACGACUGCUAAUACCUCAUACUGAAGGAGGGGAUUGCGUCUGAUUCGCUAGUUGGAGGGGUAACGGCCCACCAAGGCGAUGAUCAGUAGCCGGGCUGAGAGGAUGAACGGCCACAAUUGGACUGAGAAACGGCCCAGAAUCAUACGGGAGGGAGCAGUGGGGAAUCUUCCGCAAUGGACGAAAGUCUGACGGAGCAACGCGGCGUGAGUGAUGACGGCCUUCGGGUUGUAAAGCUCUGUUAAUCGGGACGCGGUACCGGAAUAGAAAGCCACGGCUAACUACGUGCCAGCAGCCGCGGUAAUUC